Molecule: long non-coding RNA, 3363 nt
Organism: Sapajus apella (tufted capuchin)
Lineage: Eukaryota; Metazoa; Chordata; Mammalia; Primates; Cebidae
Exons: 3
Source: RefSeq, a predicted model, not a curated record
UCUUUUUCUUCUUCGUUUUUUUUUUUUUUUUUUUUAAUCACAACCAUGCAUGCCUCUCUCAGCCCCACAUCUGCUUCAGAGAUGUCAAACAUUCCCUCCUCCCUAUCCAUAUGCUGCCUUGGAGACUCAGCCCUACUCCUAACUUAAAACGGAGAGUACUACCUGCCAUAUGACUGUGCCCCACCAGUUUCGGUUACUGACCUAGGAGUAGACAUCUGACUCAAGCGGGGUUGCUUGAAUUUUCUCCCAGGAAUUUGGAAUAGGGACAAAGAGGCUGAGUCAUUUAGCUGUGUGGAGCCAAGCUGCAAGGUCAUGCCCAUUGGCCUGCCACAGCAGGCUGAAACCUCAUGCUAGCCACAGUGAAGGGAAGCUGAGAAACCAUGAGUCAGCAGAAAAAGCCAGUCUACGAGCAAAAGAGCACAAAGAUGGGGCAGAUAGAUGCCCAGAGUCAAGUAGAGAGGCCAUGUACCUUGAAAGGCACAGGAGAGAGAGAGAGAGAAAUAAAAUCUGCAUAAUCCCCUUCUUGGUCCUAUAAUGCCCAGCAGCUGUAUCUCCAGCACUGGCUUAUUGUGACCCCAUAAUAACCUCUGCCUUUCAGUCAACCCUCUUUUUAUUUGAGCUAAGUGGAAUUCUGUUCCUUGCAUGCAAAUUCUUCCUAAGACACUUCACAAUUCAUAUUGAAUAUAUUUUAGGGCGGAAAGACUGUUCUGCUCUUUAUGACGAUUAUGGAAAUUGAGGUUUAUCUCAAGACCCGCAACAGGCUGAGCAGCUUUCUGCAUUCUCGCCACUAAUUAUCCAGACUCCGGAGACUGAGCUUUCAAGGUGAGUGGUUUUCAGAGCUUCAGAUGGGAGCCAGCCCCAUUUGAGGUCUUUCCCCAAGGAUAUCUUAGAGAUAUUCAGUUCAGGAAGAGAGAUCUUAUUGUAGAAUGUAGCUGCCACCUUGGGAACAUAUGUCAGGACUUCCUAAAGUCUUUUUGCUUAAAAUUUCCAAGAAAAUGUGGAGCCUGAUUUCUUAUAAAGCCACUUUUCCUUUAAAAGUACUUGCAGAAUCUCUACAGGCCCAAGGUGUCUGUGAAGAGCUCAGGUACUAUUUCUGUGCUAAUCUCUAUAGAAUAAAAGAAAGAACUCAUUUAAAAAAUUCCACUUGUCUUUCUCAAAUUAUUAGAACUAAUCCUAGAAUGAAAUGAUGGAGAAAUGGUUGAGUAAAUUAGAGUCCAUCAGCUGGUGGAAUACUAUGCAAGUGUUAAAAGGGAUAACUAACAAGAUUAAACAACAUGGAAAGACGUUUUUGAUUCAAUGAAUGAGGAAAAAGGUAGAAUACAAAAUUGUAAGUAUCAACCAUGUGAAAAUGGGUUUACAGAAGGACAUUUUUCUUGGUAGUCUUUAACAAGGUAAUUGAGGUAGCCACAACCAACUCACAGAUCUUGGUAUGUAAGGUAAAAUCGAUUGAACAUUUCUGCCUUAGAUAAUUUUGGCUAAGGUAAUGUCACUGUCCUAGUUCAGUCCCAGAAUUUCUUCCUAUAUUGGUCUGAUUCUGUGCCUUGUGCUGAUCUACUUUUGUGCUGGUCCAUAGCACUCCCAACUGAUGGGACCUACUGAUGAUAGAGGGACCACAGUCCCUCCAUCUGUGGUUAAUCUGGUAUGGAGAUCUUUUGCUUGGCACCACAAAGAUUUUAAGAACUAUAUUUAAAUUGCUUUAAUUUUUUUUUCCUGCCUACUCUUUUCCAAAUCUGUGUCAAGGUGGAGAUGUGACUGUCUUCCAGUAUGCUAAUAACGUCUGUAAAUUUUCUGGGAAAACCUGCCAAAGCUAAGGACAAAGAAAGGAAAACCUAAUGAAUGUGACAAAGGUACCCGGCAAUGUUUUGAGGGAGAGAUUUCACAAGCUGCCGAGGUGGCCCAAAAGAAUUUACAGGGAAGGCAGGGAAAGUCCUCCCACUCUGCCUGGACUCUGAAACUUUAUACCCAGCCACCCUUCCAUGGGGAUGUCCACUCCACUGCCACCCCAAGCCAGGCUGCACCUGCAGGAACCCUGUCCCACCUGUUCAGGCUCUGAGCCCACACAGCAAGCAGCCCUCCUGUGCAGACACUUUUCUCACCCUGCUGGGGCUCCAGCACCCAGCUCUGUACCACGGUGGCUUCCCCCAUUAGUCACAGAUGUUAUCCUGCUCUGCCCCACCUAAAGGAUUUUGCACCAAAUUGUUGACAGAGGGAAGGGAAGAAAAUCCCAAAUGACAUAUUUUUGGGAGCGAGAAACGGGCACUGAAUCUUGAUCCAAAUGGGUGGGAAAUGUGGAAUGCUGAGCAGGGAGAGGCAGGGAGAUGAAGUUAGUACACAGUAGAGGGCUUGAGGCUUGAAGAAUACCAGCUAUAGGAGUGGGUCCCUGUUCUUGGGCCUGUUUGCGUAUCUGAGGACUCGACUCCUAUUUCUCUGGGCUGAGAAUGCUGCCACCAGCCUGGAGCCUCAUCGAACCACUUUUUAUUUAAAAAAACCACCCGUUGGCUCCUGAUGUUUUUUAUGCUGAUUAAGAACACUGACUUGGCUAAAUGAACAAGGGGGCUGAUUGUUGCUCUGUCUCUUGAAGCAGGAGAAGCUUUUGAUCAAGUGGAGUGGGAGUUUAUGUUUGAGGUACUUUAAAAAGUGAAAUCUGGAGAUAAGCGUAUGAACUGAAUUUGAACUUUAUUCCAAGCCCAUUGAACAGAAAUGUUUCACAUCCCUUUAAUCUGAAAAAAGCCCACUGCAAUUGCCCUUUUAAUCCCUUAUUUUUCUUUAAUAUAAAGCUCCUUCUCAAAUUGCUUACUAUUUACGUACUGAGAAGGGCACUUCAAAAAUAAACUUAAGUUGAAAGAUGUUUGGAUUUUUUUCUUUCUUCAGGGAUAGGAAACAUGGCUCUGGUGACUUCUUUCUCCACCCUGGCACCCAGAGCAAGGAUGCUGCUCAUUAGUGACUAAGUGGGACCAGUGUCUCAGGUGGCAAUCCGGGAGCAAGCUCAGCUUCACACUGGGGCACUGUGGGUUGAUUGCACAGAAAACAGAAGCUUGUGGGUUCUAAUCUCGGUUCCUCCAUUGGCUUCUGGAUGGCUUUAGGUGAGUCAUUUAAUUUCCACGUUUGGUUUGCCCCAUCUGCCACAUGGAGCUAAUGAUACACCUCAUCCACUUAUUUCAUAGGAAUGUUGUAAGCGCUGAUUAAUGUAGAGGGCAGCCAAACAUUGCUUAUGUAUGAUGAGCUAAGAAAAGUAAGAUCAUGAGCUCAGAAACCUUUUCAAAUUAGGGGUGAUCUUUUCCUUUAGGAAUGAGCUAUGCUUAUGAUGCUGGGGUUUUUUUUGUUUUGUUUUGUUUCUCCUGAGUUGGAGUUUCACUCUUGUUG